This 174-nucleotide non-coding RNA is filed under the name Gossypium hirsutum (cotton). RNAcentral describes it as "Bacterial small subunit ribosomal RNA". It matches the Rfam family "Bacterial small subunit ribosomal RNA", at positions 943 to 1219 of the family's 1533-position model. The record is from Rfam by way of RNAcentral. Lineage: Eukaryota; Viridiplantae; Streptophyta; Magnoliopsida; Malvales; Malvaceae.
GAUUUAAUUCGAUGCAAAGCGAAGAACCUUACCAGGGCUUGACAUGCCGCGAAUCCUCUUGAAAGAGAGGGGUGCCUUCGGGAACGCGGACACAGGUGGUGCACAUCACUGUAGCUGAGGCAUCCUAACAGACCGAUAGACUUGAACCUUGUUCCUAUAUGACCCGAUCAAUUC